UAUGAAUAUGCAGUCCUAUUCUUUCUCCU
This 29-nucleotide non-coding RNA is filed under the name Mus musculus (house mouse). The record is from RNAcentral. Lineage: Eukaryota; Metazoa; Chordata; Mammalia; Rodentia; Muridae.